RNAcentral lists this ribosomal RNA (525 nucleotides) under Bacillus sp. M6-C7. Its description in RNAcentral is "bacterial SSU rRNA". It matches the Rfam family "Bacterial small subunit ribosomal RNA", at positions 1 to 522 of the family's 1533-position model. The record is from RNAcentral. Lineage: Bacteria; Bacillati; Bacillota; Bacilli; Caryophanales; Bacillaceae.
UGAGCUUGAUCCUGGCUCAGAUUGAACGCUGGCGGCAGGCCUAACACAUGCAAGUCGAGCGGAAACGAUGGAAGCUUGCUUCCAGGCGUCGAGCGGCGGACGGGUGAGUAAUGCAUAGGAAUCUGCCCGAUAGUGGGGGAUAACGUGGGGAAACCCACGCUAAUACCGCAUACGUCCUACGGGAGAAAGCAGGGGAUCUUCGGACCUUGCGCUAUCGGAUGAGCCUAUGUCGGAUUAGCUAGUUGGUGAGGUAAUGGCUCACCAAGGCGACGAUCCGUAGCUGGUCUGAGAGGAUGAUCAGCCACACUGGGACUGAGACACGGCCCAGACUCCUACGGGAGGCAGCAGUGGGGAAUAUUGGACAAUGGGGGAAACCCUGAUCCAGCCAUGCCGCGUGUGUGAAGAAGGCCUUCGGGUUGUAAAGCACUUUCAGCGAGGAAGAAGGCCUGAGGGUUAAUACCCUUCAGGAAGGACAUCACUCGCAGAAGAAGCACCGUGCUAACUCCGUCGCGCACGACAGCGCUG